Callithrix jacchus (white-tufted-ear marmoset) is the source of this 300-nucleotide unclassified non-coding RNA. It matches the Rfam family "Metazoan signal recognition particle RNA". Rfam says of the family: The signal recognition particle (SRP) is a universally conserved ribonucleoprotein. It is involved in the co-translational targeting of proteins to membranes. Lineage: Eukaryota; Metazoa; Chordata; Mammalia; Primates; Cebidae. The record is from Ensembl.
GCCAGGCGUGGUGGCGUGUGCCUAUAGUCCCAGCUACUCGGGAGGCUGAGGUGGGAGGAUCGCUUGAGCCCAGGAGUUCUGGGCUGUAGUGUACUAUGCCGAUCGGGUGUCCGCACUAAAUUCGGCAUCAAUAUGGAGACCUCCCAGGAACGGGUGACCACCAGGUUGCCUAAGGAGGGGUGAACGGGCCCAGGUCGAAAACAGAGCAGGUCAAAACUCCCAUGCUGAUCAGUAGUGGGAUCGCGCCUGUGAAUAGCCACUGCACUCCAGCCUGGGCAACAUAGUGAGACCCCAUCUCUA